Molecule: ribosomal RNA, 253 nt
Filed under: uncultured bacterium
Lineage: Bacteria
Description: partial 16S ribosomal RNA
Rfam family: Bacterial small subunit ribosomal RNA
Source: RNAcentral
UACGUAGGGGGCAAGCGUUGUCCGGAUUUAUUGGGCGUAAAGAGCGUGUAGGCGGCUAGGUAGGUCCGUUGUGAAAACUCGAGGCUCAACCUCGAGACGCCGAUGGAAACCAUCUGGCUAGAGUCCGGAAGAGGAGAGUGGAAUUCCUGGUGUAGCGGUGAAAUGCGCAGAUAUCAGGAAGAACACCCGUGGCGAAGGCGGCUCUCUGGUACGUGACUGACGCUGAGACGCGAAAGCGUGGGGAGCAAACAGG